UUGAAGAAGAGAAGACAAGAAAAUGUGAGAGAAAAGGGUAUGGAAAUCAGAGCUCGAAACCAUUUCCAUGGAAAUGGUUUCGAGCUCUGAUUUCCAUACCCUUUUCUCUCACAUUUUCUUGUCUUCUCUUCUUCUCU
RNAcentral lists this microRNA precursor (137 nucleotides) under Cucumis sativus (cucumber). RNAcentral describes it as "pre miRNA MIR2118". Lineage: Eukaryota; Viridiplantae; Streptophyta; Magnoliopsida; Cucurbitales; Cucurbitaceae. The record is from RNAcentral.